RNAcentral lists this ribosomal RNA (607 nucleotides) under bacterium 88-L049640-122-012-H11. RNAcentral's name for it is "bacterial SSU rRNA". It matches the Rfam family "Bacterial small subunit ribosomal RNA", at positions 62 to 681 of the family's 1533-position model. The record is from RNAcentral.
UCGACGAUGAUCUCCAGCUUGCUGGGGGGAUUAGUGGCGAACGGGUGAGUAACACGUGAGUAACCUGCCCUUAACUCUGGGAUAAGCCUGGGAAACUGGGUCUAAUACCGGAUAUGACUCCUCAUCGCAUGGUGGGGGGUGGAAAGCUUUAUUGUGGUUUUGGAUGGACUCGCGGCCUAUCAGCUUGUUGGUGAGGUAAUGGCUUACCAAGGCGACGACGGGUAGCCGGCCUGAGAGGGUGACCGGCCACACUGGGACUGAGACACGGCCCAGACUCCUACGGGAGGCAGCAGUGGGGAAUAUUGCACAAUGGGCGCAAGCCUGAUGCAGCGACGCCGCGUGAGGGAUGACGGCCUUCGGGUUGUAAACCUCUUUCAGUAGGGAAGAAGCGAAAGUGACGGUACCUGCAGAAGAAGCGCCGGCUAACUACGUGCCAGCAGCCGCGGUAAUACGUAGGGCGCAAGCGUUAUCCGGAAUUAUUGGGCGUAAAGAGCUCGUAGGCGGUUUGUCGCGUCUGCCGUGAAAGUCCGGGGCUCAACUCCGGAUCUGCGGUGGGUACGGGCAGACUAGAGUGAUGUAGGGGAGACUGGAAUUCCUGGUGUAGCGG